Molecule: ribosomal RNA, 484 nt
Filed under: uncultured bacterium
Lineage: Bacteria
Description: partial 16S ribosomal RNA
Rfam family: Bacterial small subunit ribosomal RNA
Source: RNAcentral
AUUGAACGCUGGCGGCAGGCCUAACACAUGCAAGUCGAGCGGAUGAAGGGAGCUUGCUCCUGGAUUCAGCGGCGGACGGGUGAGUAAUGCCUAGGAAUCUGCCUGGUAGUGGGGGAUAACGUCCGGAAACGGGCGCUAAUACCGCAUACGUCCUGAGGGAGAAAGUGGGGGAUCUUCGGACCUCACGCUAUCAGAUGAGCCUAGGUCGGAUUAGCUAGUUGGUGGGGUAAAGGCCUACCAAGGCGACGAUCCGUAACUGGUCUGAGAGGAUGAUCAGUCACACUGGAGCUGAGACACGGUCCAGACUCCUACGGGAGGCAGCAGUGGGGAAUAUUGGACAAUGGGCGAAAGCCUGAUCCAGCCAUGCCGCGUGUGUGAAGAAGGUCUUCGGAUUGUAAAGCACUUUAAGUUGGGAGGAAGGGCAGUAAGUUAAUACCUUGCCGUUUUGACGUUACCAACAGAAUAAGCACCGGCUAACUUCGUG